Molecule: ribosomal RNA, 301 nt
Filed under: uncultured bacterium
Lineage: Bacteria
Description: partial 16S ribosomal RNA
Rfam family: Bacterial small subunit ribosomal RNA
Source: RNAcentral
CAGCCGCCGCGGUAAUACGAAGGGUGCAAGCGUUACUCGGAAUUACUGGGCGUAAAGCGUGUGUAGGUGGUUGUUUAAGUCUGUCGUGAAAGCCCUGGGCUCAACCUGGGAAUUGCGAUGGAUACUGGGCGACUAGAGUGCGGUAGAGGAUAGUGGAAUUUCCGGUGUAGCAGUGAAAUGCGUAGAGAUCGGAAGGAACAUCCGUGGCGAAGGCGACUAUCUGGGCCAACACUGACACUGAGACACGAAAGCGUGGGGAGCAAACAGGAUUAGAUACCCCAGUAGUCCCUGUCUCUUAUAC